UCAAGAUGAAAGCAAAUACAUAACUGUGCUUACAUGAAUUUAAAAGGCUGUGCUUUUGUUUAGUAAAUAGGAGGUGGAGGGGAUGGUGAUGGUGGUGGUGGAGAUUUGUAAUAAUAAGGUGGUGGAGGCGAUGGAGAGGGUGGAGGUGGGGACUUAUAGUAAUAAGGAGGUGGAGGUGAUGGUGAUGGUGGAGGUGGAGACUUGUAAUAGUAUGGAGGGGGAGGGGACGGUGAUGGUGGAGGUGGAGACUUGUAGUAGUAAGGAGGAGGAGGGGAAGGAGAUGGUGGUGGCGGAGACUUAUAGUAGUACGGAGGGGGAGGGGAUGGGGAUGGUGGAGGUGGUGACUUAUAGUAGUAAGGAGGAGGAGGUGAAGGAGAUGGUGGUGGGGGAGACUUGUAGUAGUACGGAGGCGGAGGGGAUGGAGAUGGUGGAGGUGGUGACUUAUAGUAGUAAGGAGGAGGAGGUGAAGGAGAUGGUGGUGGGGGAGACUUGUAGUAAUACGGAGGAGGAGGGGAUGGUGAUGGUGGAGGUGGGGAUUUAUAGUAGUAAGGAGGAGGAGGUGAAGGUGAUGGUGGUGGGGGAGACUUGUAGUAGUAAGGAGGAGGAGGUGAAGGGGAUGGUGGAGGUGGGGACUUAUACUCAUAAGGUGGGGGUGGGGAUGAAGGAGGAGGAGGAGG
RNAcentral lists this long non-coding RNA (677 nucleotides) under Jatropha curcas. RNAcentral's name for it is "long non-coding RNA (JCUR_LNC003212)". Lineage: Eukaryota; Viridiplantae; Streptophyta; Magnoliopsida; Malpighiales; Euphorbiaceae. The record is from RNAcentral.